GAGAAGAUUAGCAUGGCCCCUGA
RNAcentral lists this non-coding RNA (23 nucleotides) under Gallus gallus (chicken). Lineage: Eukaryota; Metazoa; Chordata; Aves; Galliformes; Phasianidae. The record is from RNAcentral. RNAcentral also lists the same sequence under 1 other name.